RNAcentral lists this ribosomal RNA (406 nucleotides) under uncultured bacterium. Its description in RNAcentral is "bacterial SSU rRNA". It matches the Rfam family "Bacterial small subunit ribosomal RNA", at positions 29 to 412 of the family's 1533-position model. The record is from RNAcentral.
AACGAACGCUGGCGGCGUGGAUAAGACAUGCAAGUCGAACGCUUAUCUUUGUGUAGCAAUACAUGAAGGUAGGAGUGGCGCAAGGGUGCGUAACACGUGGGUAAUUUGCCGCGAAGUCCGGGAUAACUUGCUGAAAGGCGAGCUAAUACCGGAUGUGGAAAUUGGAAGGCAUCUUUUGAUUUCUGAAGCUGGGGACCUGUAAGGGCCUGGCGCUUUGCGAUAAGCCCGCGGCCUAUCAGCUAGUUGGUGAGGUAACGGCCCACCAAGGCUAAGACGGGUAGCUGGUCUGAGAGGACGACCAGCCACACUGGAACUGAGACACGGUCCAGACACCUACGGGUGCAGCAGUCGAGAAUUUUUCUCAAUGGGCGCAAGCCUGAAGGAGCGACGCCGCGUGUGGGAUGAA